GCCAUGCAUGCCUAAGAAUAAGAGGAAGCAAUUCUCUCUGAAUCUGCGAACGGCUCCGCAAACCAGUUGUAAACUAUAGCAAGCAAGCCCGGGAUCGGCCUUCACGGGCUGGUUCCGGGUGAUAUGGAUAACCCUGGUAAUUCUGAGGCUAAUACAUGACCGUAAAACCUAGCUGACCGGCUUCGGCUGGGAUGCUGGGGGACGUGUGAUUUGGGCUUGGUAACACCGGGAAGGGGCGCACGUCUAGACCACGCUAUAAAGGUCGGUUUCCCCUUCGGGGGGGGCUGUCCCAGUGGCUCUUGCUGUGUGCUUCUGACCUAUCAACUAGACGGCAGCGUAAGGGACAUGCUAUGGUGACAACGGGUACAGAGGAUUAGGGUUCGAUCCUGGAGAGUGGGCCUGAGAGAUUGCUCAUACUUCUAAGGAAGGCAGCAGGCGCGCAACGUUCCCCUUGGGCAAUGCCCGAGGGCGUUAGGGGACAUAUGAAUGCCUGCCCAUUGGGUGGGCAAUUCAAAUGGGUCUGUUGUAAACAGGCUCUCGAGUAACAAU
This 549-nucleotide ribosomal RNA is filed under the name Lamproderma aeneum. Its description in RNAcentral is "bacterial SSU rRNA". It matches the Rfam family "Eukaryotic small subunit ribosomal RNA", at positions 48 to 548 of the family's 1831-position model. The record is from RNAcentral. Lineage: Eukaryota; Evosea; Eumycetozoa; Stemonitida; Stemonitidae.